GCGUUCGUGGUGUGGUGGUCUGCACACCGGAUUGUGGCUCCGGAGGUUCUCGGUUCGAAACCGGGCGAGCGCC
RNAcentral lists this transfer RNA (73 nucleotides) under Thermomonospora umbrina. RNAcentral's name for it is "Actinomadura umbrina tRNA". It matches the Rfam family "tRNA". From Rfam's summary of the family: Transfer RNA (tRNA) molecules are approximately 80 nucleotides in length. Their secondary structure includes four short double-helical elements and three loops (D, anti-codon, and T loops). Lineage: Bacteria; Bacillati; Actinomycetota; Actinomycetes; Streptosporangiales; Thermomonosporaceae. The record is from Rfam by way of RNAcentral.